GAUGAACGCUGGCGGCGUGCCUAAUACAUGCAAGUCGAGCGAACAGACGAGGAGCUUGCUCCUUCGACGUUAGCGGCGGACGGGUGAGUAACACGUAGGUAACCUACCUAUAAGACUGGGAUAACUUCGGGAAACCGGAGCUAAUACCGGAUAAUAUUUCGAACCGCACGGUUCGAUAGUGAAAGAUGGCUUUGCUAUCACUUAUAGAUGGACCUGCGCCGUAUUAGCUAGUUGGUAAGGUAACGGCUUACCAAGGCAACGAUACGUAGCCGACCUGAGAGGGUGAUCGGCCACACUGGAACUGAGACACGGUCCAGACUCCUACGGGAGGCAGCAGUAGGGAAUCUUCCGCAAUGGGCGAAAGCCUGACGGAGCAACGCCGCGUGAGUGAUGAAGGUCUUCGGAUCGUAAAACUCUGUUAUUAGGGAAGAACAAACGUGUAAGUAACUGUGCACGUCUUGACGGUACCUAAUCAGAAAGCCACGGCUAACUACGUG
This 497-nucleotide ribosomal RNA is filed under the name uncultured bacterium. Its description in RNAcentral is "partial 16S ribosomal RNA". It matches the Rfam family "Bacterial small subunit ribosomal RNA", at positions 28 to 507 of the family's 1533-position model. The record is from RNAcentral.